GAUGAACGCUGGCGGCGUGCCUAAUACAUGCAAGUCGAGCGAACAGACGAGGAGCUUGCUCCUCUGACGUUAGCGGCGGACGGGUGAGUAACACGUGGAUAACCUACCUAUAAGACUGGGAUAACUUCGGGAAACCGGAGCUAAUACCGGAUAAUAUAUUGAACCGCAUGGUUCAAUAGUGAAAGACGGUUUUGCUGUCACUUAUAGAUGGAUCCGCGCCGCAUUAGCUAGUUGGUAAGGUAACGGCUUACAAAGGCAACGAUGCGUAGCCGACCUGAGAGGGUGAUCGGCCACACUGGAACUGGGACACGGUCCAGACUCCUACGGGAGGCAGCAGUAGGGAAUCUUCCGCAAUGGGCGAAAGCUUGACGGAGCAACGCCGCGUGAGUGAUGAAGGUUUUCGGAUCGUAAAACUCUGUUAUUAGGGAAGACCAAAUGUGUAAGUAACUAUGCACGUCUUGACGGUACCUAAUCAGAAAGCCACGGCUAACUACGUG
Molecule: ribosomal RNA, 497 nt
Filed under: uncultured bacterium
Lineage: Bacteria
Description: partial 16S ribosomal RNA
Rfam family: Bacterial small subunit ribosomal RNA
Source: RNAcentral